UACGUAGGGCGCAAGCGUUGUCCGGAAUUAUUGGGCGUAAAGAGCUCGUAGGCGGCUUGUCACGUCGGUUGUGAAAGCCCGGGGCUUAACCCCGGGUCUGCAGUCGAUACGGGCAGGCUAGAGUGUGGUAGGGGAGAUUGGAAUUUCUGGUGUAGCGGUGGAAUGCGCAGAUAUCAGGAGGAACACCGAUGGCGAAGGCAGAUCUCUGGGCCGUAACUGACGCUGAGGAGCGAAAGCGUGGGGAGCGAACAGG
RNAcentral lists this ribosomal RNA (253 nucleotides) under uncultured bacterium. Its description in RNAcentral is "partial 16S ribosomal RNA". It matches the Rfam family "Bacterial small subunit ribosomal RNA", at positions 524 to 776 of the family's 1533-position model. The record is from RNAcentral.